This 103-nucleotide small nuclear RNA is filed under the name Pongo abelii (Sumatran orangutan). The record is from RNAcentral. Lineage: Eukaryota; Metazoa; Chordata; Mammalia; Primates; Hominidae.
UUGUUUCAGCAGCACAUAUUCUAAAAUUGGAUCAAUACAGAACAGAUAAGCAUGCCUGCUGCCUAAGGAGGGCACGCAAAUUCAGAAAGCAUUCCACAUGUUG